Molecule: ribosomal RNA, 235 nt
Filed under: uncultured bacterium
Lineage: Bacteria
Description: partial 16S ribosomal RNA
Rfam family: Bacterial small subunit ribosomal RNA
Source: RNAcentral
GUGCCUACGGGGGGCAGCAGUGGGGAAUAUUGCACAAUGGGGGGAACCCUGAUGCAGCGACGCCGCGUGAGUGAAGAAGUAUCUCGGUACGUAAAGCUCUAUCAGCAGGGAAGAAAAUGACGGUACCUGACUAAGAAGCCCCGGCUAACUACGUGCCAGCAGCCGCGGUAAUACGUAGGGGGCAAGCGUUAUCCGGAUUCAUUGGGCGUAAAGCGCGCGCAGGCGGGCCGCUAAG